AAAAUAUUUCUCCACCUUCAUCACUGCCAGCCCAGCACACCAGACUUGCUCCCACAUCCCUUUUGAGGAGAGAAUAGUCCUUGGAAUUUUGAAGACAGGUCUGUGGUGUAUGUGGGAGAAUAGUAACUAUUUCACUAAGCAAUCUUCUAAAGUGUCCCCCAACACACCUAAAGUUCCAAACCUUCUCGGAUUCAAACUGCUUCCCCCAGCAACCGGAUUCCAUCUCUUCAGUUCUAUCUGGUGGUCUAGGUGUAUGGAUUCAAACCUAGGAAAAUGGGCCUCAAAUACCGGGAGGGGAAAAAAAGUUCCCUUUCUGGCUGUGAACUUUCCCUGUUGAUAAAAUAUGGUUUCAUAUUUUGCUCAAAAUGAGACCGGUUUCCUGUCUGUGUAUCGAGUGGAAGAACAUCGCAAGGAAUAGCUGCUCCAUCCUCAGAAGGUAAGCCCAGCAAGAUAGCUUCAUUCUAUGAAAAACAAAACAAACACCAACAAUAACAAAAACCAACAACACCAACAAACAAACAAAAAAAACAGGACCAACAACAAUCACAAAAAACCUAAUGACCUGCUGCAAAUGCACAAGAUCAUCACAAGCCUGUUCAGAGAAAGAGAACAAACGAGAAACCCUGAAAAUAAGGAUUUGGGGUUUCUUAAGGUAAGGGAUGGUUAGAAAAUUGUACAUCCUGAAGGCACCAAAAUCAGAAGAACAUAGUUAGUUAGGAGAUGACAGACUUUUUUCUUUUUUCUUUUUUUUUUAAAAACAUCUUUUAGGUUAGAGCCAAGCAUUUCUUUUGAUAGAUUUCAAUGUUUUUCUCAAAGUCUAGACAUAGGGUUAGGGGAUGAAAGGAGUAUAAGUCACGGUCAAAAGCACUCCUGUGUCCUUGUUUCCCAUAUCUGUUUUUUCUUCUAGAGUGACAAAAAUGGGUUGGAUUUGGGUGGGAGAUAUAAUAGAGGUUAGGAAUUACAAAAAGAAUUUAGGUUACUCAAGAAGUUAGGGAAGAGGGGAAAAGGAGAUGGCUCUCUGUUGAAUCUGCUUCAGAUACUUGAGGGCAUGUGGGCUUAAAGCUAAGAAAGCUGGGGGUCACAUUUCUCAUUUAAAACAUCCUGCCUAUUUAAUUUGUAAAGACUACUGUAAAUAAAACAUCCCCAUCCCAUUCCCCUUUCUCAUGACUUGAUUAUUAACAUCUUUCUCUUUCUUGUUUCUCUCUCUAACCAUGAUCAUUAGGAGAAGUAGCCACACAGGACGUGAAAGAGUCUCAGCAGGGCAAGAAAGUACCAGGGAUGGUUAGGGUGGAGCCACUCUGUCUUUGGCAUCAGUGCUCCCAGAAAGUAUAUUUCUGCUUGUAACCUAAAACAAGCCCAAACCUGCUACCUAACUGAAGUCAACUCCGAUCAACUUUUACAGUGCUACCACUAUCCCCAGCCUGCCUGACAACAAGAAUUAGCUUGGAAGCUAAACCAAACCAACACCAGAAUCACCAGCUCACAUCAUGCGAUCAGUUUGGAAAGCAGGGAUUGGACCCUCUCCUAUUUCCCAACAGCCUCACCAAAAUGGAUAGAUUCUUAAAACCCAGCAGAUAUCAGAGUGCCAUUUAAAACCUAGGCACGUUUUUUGGAGCCUAAGGGAACAACUGACUGAAUUCAGUGUCUCAGGAAUUGGGUAUAUGCCUGUAAGGUGUGUGAUCCUUUAAAGAUCUGUGUUACUAGUUUUGCAUGAAAGCUUUGUUACAGCUUUGUUAGCGUGCUUGCAUUCAGCAAUCUUAUUCCUACCCCACCCUUUUUCUCCUCUUCUCUAGAAAUGCCUGACUGAGUUAUUUUGAAGCUCCCCUUUAAAUAUAUUUUAUGAGAAAGUUGCAUACUGACUAUACACCAUGGUCUCCUUCCUUUGCUUGUUGCAAGUAAACUGGUUUUUACUCCCAGACUAUUAGCUGUGAAUAGCUGACUUUCCCUUGACAUAUAUGACUUAUGAAUGGGACUUCUAGUACAUUCACCACUGCUGUUGAAUACUUCUCUCUCCACUCCCAUGCCCACCCCCACCCUCAGCUCAUCCAAGCAAUAGUGGAGAUAAACAGAAAUAACCUGAUAUAGACAGACAUGAUAACCUAGCUUGAUUUUAAAAGUUUAGCAUCUUUUAACAACUAGCAACCAAUUUUUAAUCAUUCCAUAAGUUCAUUGUUCCAGAAGUUUAAAUAUGGAUUACAAGAGGAUACAUAUUUUUUGGGAGAAUUAGGAAUGAGUAUGAUAAUUGUAAAAUAACUUUGAAACUUGGAAAAUAGGUGUCUGAAUUAAGAAGUGAAUAUAUAUUGAUGUUGACUAAGUACACAAUAAAAUACGCAAUUUUCUAUAAUCUGUAAGAUAGCUUCAGCCUAUUUCAAUUUAUUCAUUUUCUAGGGCUUUCCUUACCAUUGAUAUAAGGGGAACAAAUGCAAUGCCUUUUAUUAAUCCCUCUCUGUUUCUCUCUGUCUCUGUCUCUUACAUUUACCACAUGCACAGCACACAUAUCUUCUUAGUUGUUUUUGCUCAGUUGUCCCAAAUUAUCAUAUAAUAUGAUUUAUAGUUAGGGAUAUCACGUACAAGUGGGUAUCUCCCAUUUUAGGCCUUUUCCUCCCUUUGAAGCUAUAGUUAAAGCUUGAAAAACAAAAGAGAAAGGUAAUUGAUAUCCUUCUUUGUUCCCCUACCUCCUUAAACUAAUAAAGGGAAUCUGACAAGGAAAGCUAACAGAAACAUCUGCAUUUGUAAAUAAUACUGACUUCACAUCCUCCUAACCUCAGCAAUUAAAACAACUACUUAUAAACAACAACAACAACAACAACAACAACAAGAACAACAACAACAACAACAACAACAUCCAGGAUAAAAGUAAAGCUUUAGGCAGAUUUGUGCACCUAAUUAAGUUUAGGACCAGAGCCCUCCAGUCUCCGAGCUAUGUAUGAGAAGCUGGAUAACUUCAUUCUGUCUCUCCCCCUUUUCAAAAGCAACUUCAGGGAUAUCUUUAGUACCUGUUACAACUUUUCUUUCAGGAUGGUUAAAAAAAAAAUCCCAUAUGGAAGAAAGCAAAGUGAUUGUAUCUAACCAGCUAGCUUUAAGAUGUUUUGAAGUUGAAAAGAAAGUUUCUUUGGCCCUUGCUCUGAAAAUUUGAAUAAAUGGAGAACUAAUAUUCAUAAAAAA
Molecule: long non-coding RNA, 3165 nt
Organism: Antechinus flavipes (yellow-footed antechinus)
Lineage: Eukaryota; Metazoa; Chordata; Mammalia; Dasyuromorphia; Dasyuridae
Exons: 5
Source: RefSeq, a predicted model, not a curated record